CCUACGGGAGGCAGCAGUGGGGAAUUUUGGACAAUGGGGGAAACCCUGAUCCAGCAAUGCCGCGUGUGUGAAGAAGGCCUUCGGGUUGUAAAGCACUUUUAUUCGGAGAGAAAUCCCUUGGGCUAAUACCCUGAGGGUCUGACGGUACCGGAUGAAUAAGCGCCGGCUAACUACGUGCCAGCAGCCGCGGUAAUACGUAGGGCGCGAGCGUUAAUCGGAAUUACUGGGCGUAAAGCGUGCGCAGGCGGUUUUGUAAGACAGAUGUGAAAGCCCCGGGCUCAACCUGGGAAUUGCAUUUGUGACUGCAAGGCUAGAGUGUGUCAGAGGGAGGUGGAAUUCCGCGUGUAGCAGUGAAAUGCGUAGAGAUGCGGAGGAACACCGACGGCGAAGGCAGCCUCCUGGGAUAACACUGACGCUCAUGCACGAAAGCGUGGGGAGCAAACAGGAUUAGAUACCCUGGUAGUCCACGCCCUAAACGAUGUCAACUAGUUGUCGGGAAUUAAAUUCUUGGUAACGCAGCUAACGCGUGAAGUUGACCGCCUGGGGAGUACGGCCGCAAGGUUAAAACUCGAAAGGAAUUGACGG
Molecule: ribosomal RNA, 585 nt
Filed under: uncultured bacterium
Lineage: Bacteria
Description: bacterial SSU rRNA
Rfam family: Bacterial small subunit ribosomal RNA
Source: RNAcentral